UACGUAGGGGGCAAGCGUUAUCCGGAUUUACUGGGUGUAAAGGGAGCGUAGACGGCGAUGCAAGCCAGAUGUGAAAGCCCGGGCCUCAACCCCGGGACUGCAUUUGGAACUGUAUAGCUAGAGUGUCGGAGAGGCAGGCGGAAUUCCUAGUGUAGCGGUGAAAUGCGUAGAUAUUAGGAGGAACACCAGUGACGAAGGCGGCCUGCUGGACGAUGACUGACGUUGAGGCUCGAAAGCGUGGGGAGCAAACAGG
Molecule: ribosomal RNA, 253 nt
Filed under: uncultured bacterium
Lineage: Bacteria
Description: partial 16S ribosomal RNA
Rfam family: Bacterial small subunit ribosomal RNA
Source: RNAcentral